GGAGAUGUGGCUGAGUAUGGUUUAAGGCGGCGGUUUGCUAAACCGUUGUGGGGUAGCUAAAACUAUUUCACCCAAGGUUCAAAUCCUUGCAUCUCCGCCA
This 100-nucleotide transfer RNA is filed under the name Bacillota bacterium. Its description in RNAcentral is "tRNA-Ser". It matches the Rfam family "tRNA". Rfam says of the family: Transfer RNA (tRNA) molecules are approximately 80 nucleotides in length. Their secondary structure includes four short double-helical elements and three loops (D, anti-codon, and T loops). Further hydrogen bonds mediate the characteristic L-shaped molecular structure. tRNAs have two regions of fundamental functional importance: the anti-codon, which is responsible for specific mRNA codon recognition, and the 3' end, to which the tRNAs corresponding amino acid is attached (by aminoacyl-tRNA synthetases). tRNAs cope with the degeneracy of the genetic code in two manners: having more than one tRNA (with a specific anti-codon) for a particular amino acid; and 'wobble' base-pairing, i.e. permitting non-standard base-pairing at the 3rd anti-codon position. Lineage: Bacteria; Bacillati; Bacillota. The record is from RNAcentral.